This 1022-nucleotide ribosomal RNA is filed under the name Staphylococcus aureus. Its description in RNAcentral is "partial 23S ribosomal RNA". It matches the Rfam family "Bacterial large subunit ribosomal RNA", at positions 532 to 1557 of the family's 2925-position model. Lineage: Bacteria; Bacillati; Bacillota; Bacilli; Caryophanales; Staphylococcaceae. The record is from RNAcentral.
AGGGGAGUGAAAUAGAACCUGAAACCGUGUGCUUACAAGUAGUCAGAGCCCGUUAAUGGGUGAUGGCGUGCCUUUUGUAGAAUGAACCGGCGAGUUACGAUUUGAUGCAAGGUUAAGCAGUAAAUGUGGAGCCGUAGCGAAAGCGAGUCUGAAUAGGGCGUUUAGUAUUUGGUCGUAGACCCGAAACCAGGUGAUCUACCCUUGGUCAGGUUGAAGUUCAGGUAACACUGAAUGGAGGACCGAACCGACUUACGUUGAAAAGUGAGCGGAUGAACUGAGGGUAGCGGAGAAAUUCCAAUCGAACCUGGAGAUAGCUGGUUCUCUCCGAAAUAGCUUUAGGGCUAGCCUCAAGUGAUGAUUAUUGGAGGUAGAGCACUGUUUGGACGAGGGGCCCCUCUCGGGUUACCGAAUUCAGACAAACUCCGAAUGCCAAUUAAUUUAACUUGGGAGUCAGAACAUGGGUGAUAAGGUCCGUGUUCGAAAGGGAAACAGCCCAGACCACCAGCUAAGGUCCCAAAAUAUAUGUUAAGUGGAAAAGGAUGUGGCGUUGCCCAGACAACUAGGAUGUUGGCUUAGAAGCAGCCAUCAUUUAAAGAGUGCGUAAUAGCUCACUAGUCGAGUGACACUGCGCCGAAAAUGUACCGGGGCUAAACAUAUUACCGAAGCUGUGGAUUGUCCUUUGGACAAUGGUAGGAGAGCGUUCUAAGGGCGUUGAAGCAUGAUCGUAAGGACAUGUGGAGCGCUUAGAAGUGAGAAUGCCGGUGUGAGUAGCGAAAGACGGGUGAGAAUCCCGUCCACCGAUUGACUAAGGUUUCCAGAGGAAGGCUCGUCCGCUCUGGGUUAGUCGGGUCCUAAGCUGAGGCCGACAGGCGUAGGCGAUGGAUAACAGGUUGAUAUUCCUGUACCACCUAUAAUCGUUUUAAUCGAUGGGGGGACGCAGUAGGAUAGGCGAAGCGUGCGAUUGGAUUGCACGUCUAAGCAGUAAGGCUGAGUAUUAGGCAAAUCCGGUACUCGUUAAGGCU